Apis mellifera (honey bee) is the source of this 2870-nucleotide long non-coding RNA. RefSeq lists it as uncharacterized. The record is from RefSeq and is a predicted model, not a curated record. Lineage: Eukaryota; Metazoa; Arthropoda; Insecta; Hymenoptera; Apidae. The transcript is spliced from 5 exons.
UUCAGACCCGUGGAUACGAUCCUCCCGGCCUAGAAAGAUAUACAAUGAGAACCAGACAAUGAGCUGAUUGUUUCGAGUUCGUGUUCCGAUAGUUACGCCGUGUUUGUUCCCGUGAGAAGGUAACCACAUCGUUGUUCGACUUACAUUUUUUUACGUCAGAUUGAGUUAUUACGCUUACAUUGCAAUCAUCAAUGAUCGUAAAGAAUUUUCUAACUUUUUUGUACAUUGACGACUUAUAAAAAUAGAAAAUUUCCUCGUCCAUGUAAUCUAUUAGAUAAAUAAGAUUCUUUAACCAUAGAAAUGAAAACUAUAGAUAAACCGCGAAAAAUUGGCAAUUCAAAAUUAAUUGUCGAAAAAUAUAAUUACAAAUUUUUUUCUCUUUGAUAAAUAGGUAUAUUAAAUAACAAUUAAUUGAAAAUGAAUUGAUACAAACAACUUCUUUACUGUUCAAACACAAUCCCCUGAAAAAGAUCAUCGUGCUGACAGAGGGGAGGCGAGUGUAUACAUACGGCUACAUUCACCGAUUUCAUGGUAAAUCGAGCGUUUCUUAGCCAUAGGAUCUGGUGUGCCCUUACGCAAACCCAUUGUACACGAGUGCCUCCUGUGGUGUUACGGUAGAAUGAGAAUACAACGCGGAUUGGUCCGCAGGUCGUCCUAUCUUCAAAAUAGCAUUACCAGCGUUCAUAAUGGUUCAACCGGUGCGUUGUUAAUGUGGUAGUAUAUAAGGAAUUUGUGCUAUGACGGGCAAACAAGAAAAGAAACGAAUAAACUAACAAACGUUUCUCUAUCCAUUAAGACGAUACGUGACAAAAGAGAUUAUAUACGUCUAUAUUUUUCGACAACAAGAAACAAGAAGAUUUGCUCAAGAUGCUCGGUGAAUGCUUGUUUUCAAGUUGGAAAUUUAUUUUAAUUUUGCAUGUUACAGAAAGAUACAUAUUUUACGAACUGUGAAUUAUCCCGCGAAUAUUUUUUCAACAAAGCGACGAACAUUAAUACACAGCAAUAAUCAACGAUGUAAAUUUAUUAUGUAUUAAUGUCUCGAUGUGAAAAUAAAAAUAAUCGAAACGAGGUUAGCGCAAAUAAGCUUCUUGACUCGAGACGGUUAUACUAUCGAAAAGUGCUACACAGAUAAGGGCCUCGAUAGGGUGGUACAGGCGAUGACGGUGAUUUAAUAUUUUUCUUGUUAUGAGUAUAAGCUCACUAGUUUAUUCUGAAAACAGUAGCCAAGCACUGCUUCGUGUCCUCGUGCAAAACCACCUGCUCGAAUGAACAACUAUCGCGGGUAUCGUCGUCACAAUCUAGAUCUUACUUAUUUACUCACAUAUUUACUUGUUAUAUUUUUUUUCAGUUUUUCUAUUAUUUUUAAUGUUUUGAGUAAUCGAUAUCUUGUACGCUGAAAAGUUAAACGAUCUUUUCAACAAUUCUAUUUACAUAUUACUUAUUUUAUGCAUCAUUUUUUUCAUACCAUUAAUCGAAAAUAAUGUUCAUAUAUAUAUGGAUUCAAAACAAUUUAUAUAAAUUUUAUAUUACUGCGAUAAAGUAAAAUUUUUACGAUGCAAUCAUGAAAAUAACAUUUGGUUUUAUACGAAUUCCAGACAUGGUACAUUUGUAUUUAGUUCACAAACAUGACAAAGCAACAGAGAAAAAGAAAAAGCAAGUUCUAUGCAUUUACGUGAUUAUUUCGAGAAGUUGAGUCGCCGAGACGCGUCCGUGUCACUGAUGGAUCUCACUAACGAGCACAACUGAUGAUUGACAAAAUAUUCUCAGUGUGAGACCGAAUUUAGAGUUAAAAGGAAAAAUUUUAAGAAAUGGACAAUAGAAAAAAGAAGUCAGCAUUCUUCGCGCUCGGAAGGUGUUGAAGUAGGAUAGAAAGAAGUAUGAAAAUUUUUACAUUACGACAAUGGGACAGAAACAUUCUCAUGUUUGUGAGAUCAUGUACAAUCUUCUUGAAUGUAACCGUUUCUUGUUGAUACUGGCAAUGAGUUAUGUUGACACAACGCAACCUGUUCUGGCUCCUCGUUGAAUAUUAUGAACAUAUUAUGACAGAUAUGCCAUCCGAAGAUCAAGAAAAUUAGAUAGCACGUGCUAUUUUGAAAAUUGGAUAAUGGAUUUGACGAAGUCUAUGCAAGUGUGAUUCGCCGGUUCGCUCUAACUGUGACGCUUGUUUAAAUCUCAAUUCCAACGUUUCAUGCACUCGCCGAGGGCCAAGAGUCUCCACUAAUAACUCGGAUCAAUGUGAAUCUCCGUGUCGAUCAAAAUCAAAGAUCUUCUUUGGAAAAGUCAAUACGUCAACAAACAAGGCGUCAGUUGAAUUUCGUCUGAACUUUGCACAAACACUGGAAAAUCCCAAUGUUAACUGAUAUCUCGGGUUAAUGAAAUUUAUAAAGCCGCAAAGAGAGACGCAAAAGUAAAAAGUAGAGACGGCUUUUUGCCGAGAUAUUCGGCAAUCUUUUGCAACGGAUUUGAGCUGUGGCCAAUAUUAGAGCAAUAAAAAAGCUCAUCGGAGACUACCGUGGCUUGUUUCAAAGCGACGGUAAUGGGGCUUGAAAGCUGCCGGCUAGGAAAAGGAAGUAGAAGGAGAAAGGGGUGACGGUGAGAGGAAAAAAUCGGAGAAGAGACGAGAGACAUUCGUCUUCGAAGGCGUUCAACCAUUUGAUAGCGGAACCACCCAGCGUUAACAUUGCUUGCUUCUUUCAAUAAAAGAAAUCGACUGCAACAGUCGGAAACCUUUAUUGAAAUGACAAUCGUGAAAAUUUGAAUUUCCAUGGAUUGAAAGAAUGUCAUCUAUGCAAACAAACAUUGCAUGAUACGUUAAAUGAAAUAUUUUUUGAAAAUACAAUGAAAUAAGAUCCGAAAUUGUAUCUUUUGCA